GUGUCAGCAGCCGCGGUAAUACGUAGGGUGCGAGCGUUAAUCGGAAUUACUGGGCGUAAAGCGCGCGUAGACGGUUUUGUAAGUCAGAUGUGAAAUCCCUGGGCUCAACCUGGGAACUGCAUUUGAGACUGCAUGGCUAGAGUAUCGAAGAGGGAAGUGGAAUUUCCGGUGUAGCGGUGAAAUGCGUAGAUAUCGGAAGGAACACCAGUGGCGAAAGCGACUUCCUGGUCGAAUACUGACGUUCAUGUGCGAAAGCGUGGGGAGCAAACAGGAUUAGAAACCCGCGUAGUCC
Molecule: ribosomal RNA, 292 nt
Filed under: uncultured bacterium
Lineage: Bacteria
Description: partial 16S ribosomal RNA
Rfam family: Bacterial small subunit ribosomal RNA
Source: RNAcentral